This 506-nucleotide ribosomal RNA is filed under the name uncultured bacterium. RNAcentral's name for it is "partial 16S ribosomal RNA". It matches the Rfam family "Bacterial small subunit ribosomal RNA", at positions 28 to 523 of the family's 1533-position model. The record is from RNAcentral.
GAUGAACGCUAGCUACAGGCUUAACACAUGCAAGUCGAGGGGUAACGAGAGGAAAGCUUGCUUUCCUUGUCGACGACCGGCGCACGGGUGAGUAACGCGUAUCCAGCCUGCCCCCAACUAAGGAAUAACCUUGCGAAAGUAAGACUAAUACCUUAUAAUUUCCUCAGAUGUCAUCUGACGAGGAAUAAAGAUUUAUCGGUUGUGGAUGGGGAUGCGUCUGAUUAGCUUGUUGGCGGGGUAACGGCCCACCAAGGCAACGAUCAGUAGGGGUUCUGGGAGGAAGGUCCCCCACAUUGGAACUGAGACACGGUCCAAACUCCUACGGGAGGCAGCAGUGAGGAAUAUUGGUCAAUGGGCGAAAGCCUGAACCAGCCAAGUAGCGUGCAGGAUGACGGCCCUAUGGGUUGUAAACUGCUUUUAUACAGGAAUAAAGUUAGCCACGUGUGGUUAUUUGUAGGUACUGUAUGAAUAAGGACCGGCUAAUUCCGUGCCAGCAGCCGCCGUAA